AAUCAACGCUGGCGGCGCGCUUAACACAUGCAAGUCGAACGAGAAAGCACCUUCGGGUGCGAGUAAAGUGGCGUACGGGUGAGUAACACGUGGAUUAUCUACCUUUUAGUGGGGGAUAACCCUGGGAAACCGGGGCUAAUACCGCAUAAUCUCGCAAGAGGAAAGCAGCAAUGCGCUGAAAGAGGAGUUCGCGGCUGAUUAGCUAGAUGGUGGGGUAAUGGCUCACCAUGGCGAAGAUCGGUAGCCGGCCUGAGAGGGCACACGGCCACACUGGCACUGAAACACGGGCCAGACUCCUACGGGAGGCAGCAGUGGGGGAUCUUGCACAAUGGGGGAAACCCUGAUGCAGCGACGCCGCGUGAGCGAUGACGCCUUUCGGGGUGUAAAGCUCUUUCGACGGGAACGAUAAUGACGGUACCCGAAGAAGAAGCUGCGGCUAACUACGUGCCAGCAGCCGCGGUAAUACGUAGGCUGCAAGCGUUGUUCGGAUUUACUGGGCGUAAAGAGUGCGUAGGCGGUGCUCCAAGUUUGGCGUGAAAUCUCCCGGCUUAACCGGGAGGGUGCGUCGAAAACUG
RNAcentral lists this ribosomal RNA (575 nucleotides) under uncultured bacterium. RNAcentral describes it as "bacterial SSU rRNA". It matches the Rfam family "Bacterial small subunit ribosomal RNA", at positions 28 to 635 of the family's 1533-position model. The record is from RNAcentral.